RNAcentral lists this ribosomal RNA (233 nucleotides) under uncultured bacterium. RNAcentral's name for it is "partial 16S ribosomal RNA". It matches the Rfam family "Bacterial small subunit ribosomal RNA", at positions 118 to 347 of the family's 1533-position model. The record is from RNAcentral.
UGAGUAACCUGCCCUUAACUCUGGGAUAAGCCUGGGAAACUGGGUCUAAUACCGGAUAUGACUCCUCAUCGCAUGGUGGGGGGUGGAAAGCUUUAUUGUGGUUUUGGAUGGACUCGCGGCCUAUCAGCUUGUUGGUGAGGUAAUGGCCCACCAAGGCGACGACGGGUAGCCGGCCUGAGAGGGUGAUCGGCCACAUUGGAACUGAGACACGGUCCAGACUCCUACGGGAGCAG